This 932-nucleotide ribosomal RNA is filed under the name Pseudoramonia richeae. Its description in RNAcentral is "eukaryotic LSU rRNA". It matches the Rfam family "Eukaryotic large subunit ribosomal RNA", at positions 143 to 1099 of the family's 3401-position model. Lineage: Eukaryota; Fungi; Ascomycota; Lecanoromycetes; Ostropales; Graphidaceae. The record is from RNAcentral.
UUGUAAUUNGUAGAAGGUGCUUCGGGUGCGACGACGGGAUAAGUCCCUUGGAACUGGGCGUCAUAGAGGGUGAGAAUCCCGUACAUGCCCGGCCGUCAACCCCGUGCGAAGCCCUUUCGACGAGUCGAGUUGUUUGGGAAUGCAGCUCUAAAUGGGUGGUAAAUUUCAUCUAAAGAAAAAUAUCUGCCAGAGACCGAUAGCGCACAAGUAGAGUGAUCGAAAGAUGAAAAGCACUUUGAAAAGAGAGUCAAACAGUACGUGAAAUUGUUGAAAGGGAAGCGCUCGCAACCAGACUUGCCCGCGGGUGUUCAGCCGUCCUCCGGGGCGGUGCACUCUCCCGCGUUCGGGCCAGCAUCGGUUUCGGCGGUCGGACAAAGGCCUCGGGAACGUGGCUCCCUCCGGGGAGUGUUAUAGCCCGGGGUGCAAUGCGGCCAGCCGGGACCGAGGACCGCGCUUUUGCUAGGAUGCUGGCGUAAUGGUUGCCAGCGACCCGUCUUGAAACACGGACCAAGGAGUCGACCAACGGCGCGAGUGUUUGGGUGUCAAACCCAUGCGCGCAAUGAAAGUGAACGCAGGUGGGAGCUUGGCGCACCAUCGACCGAUCCUGAUGUCUUCGGACGGAUUUGAGUAUGAGCACCGCUGGUCGGACCCGAAAGAUGGUGAACUAUACGUGAAUAGGGUGAAGCCAGAGGAAACUCUGGUGGAGGCUCGCAGCGGUUCUGACGUGCAAAUCGAUCGUCAAAUUUGCGUAUAGGGGCGAAAGACUAAUCGAACCAUCUAGUAGCUGGUUCCUGUCGAAGUUUCCCUCAGGAUAGCAGUAACGAAAAACAGUCUCAUGAGGUAGAGCGAACGAUUAGAGGCCUUGGGGUUGAAACAACCUUUACCUAUUCUCGAACUUCGAAUAUGUGAGAAGUCCUUGUUUCUUAAUUGAA